Molecule: long non-coding RNA, 526 nt
Organism: Vespa mandarinia (Asian giant hornet)
Lineage: Eukaryota; Metazoa; Arthropoda; Insecta; Hymenoptera; Vespidae
Source: RefSeq, a predicted model, not a curated record
GUAUAUACAUAAAGGAACGUACUGUGCCCGCGCACGACGAGCGUCGGUUCGAUACUGGAGGCACUUCAAGCGAUGUUGCUUCCACCUCGUUCGCAAGUCCCACCGCCCGCGCUCUCCGUCACUAUUAUAAAGGCAACGACAACGACGAGUUCGAUGACGAAGAUACAAGGAUAACGAGGGUAACAGAGGCAACAACAAAUACGACAACGAAGAUGAGGAUAACGAGAUAGAACAUCAUAGAAACGUGAAAUCUGGAAUGACGUUUGAGCAACAAGUGGUGAGAAAUUGGUUCACGGCAGUUAUGUAUACGCUUGAUUAUGUUUUGGCAUAGAUACCAGUACGAACGGAAAAACAAUUAGAAGGUUUCUUCGUCAAGAUCUUUGAAAUAAAGCCUGAUAUUCGGCAAGUUUCUCAUCAACAUAAUUUUGGCUUUGACUGGCGAUAAUUUCUGCAGUACUAGGACCACUGGAUUCUUCAUCGACUGGUGUGUGAUCCAAUGGCACACUAAUAUAUUCGUAAUCACCGG